GAUGAACGCUGGCGGCAUGCCUAAUACAUGCAAGUCGUGCGGAAACACUUCGGGUGUCGAGCGGCGGACGGGUGAGUAACACGUUAGUAUCUACCCCAAACUGAGGGAUAAGCCCGAGAAAUCGGGUCUAAUACCGCAUAUGGUCUUUGGAUUAAAGCCUUCGGGCGGUUUGGGAGGAGCUUGCGUCUGAUUAGCUAGUUGGUAAGGUAAUGGCUUACCAAGGCUACGAUCAGUAGCUGGUCUGAGAGGAUGAUCAGUCACACUGGAACUGAGACACGGUCCAGACUCCUACGGGAGGCAGCAGUAGGGAAUUUUCCACAAUGGGCGAAAGCCUGAUGGAGCAAUGCCGCGUGCAGGAUGAAUGCCUUCGGGUUGUAAACUGCUUUUAUGAGGGAAGAUUAUGACGGUACCUCAUGAAUAAGCCUCGGCUAACUCCGUGCCAGCAGCCGCCGUAA
This 455-nucleotide ribosomal RNA is filed under the name uncultured bacterium. RNAcentral describes it as "partial 16S ribosomal RNA". It matches the Rfam family "Bacterial small subunit ribosomal RNA", at positions 28 to 523 of the family's 1533-position model. The record is from RNAcentral.